ACCAGCUUUGUUUCAAUACUUUAUCCCAAAUGUGUGAUAGUUAUAGACGUCUUCAAUUUGGGUAAGAAAGAUUCCUGGGUUAACUUUUAUGAGGUGAAAAUGUAUGUUCUUAAGGCAUACAAAGAUACUGGAGCAUUCUUAAUUUGUUCCAUUAUCUUUUAAUUAAAUUGCCCUCUAUUAUCAUUUUGUGAAGUGGAAUUGUGAACUUGUUGGACCAUAGAAUUUGGCAUCCAGUACUUUUGUCAUAAUCACUGCAUCUUCAAUUCAUUUGUCCUUCAGAGCUUAAUCUAUUUUGCUUCCCUAAUUACCAUCUACAGCUGUACCCAGGGUUUGAAACACUUUCGAAAACACAUUUUUCUAAUAUUUUGGCAUCCAAUUGGGACAUCCAAUAGCAUCCAAAAUAUUAUCAGAGAGGGUUCUAAGUAAGAAAUCUAUGUAUAUAUUUUUCUGAUUAUUUUCUUUGUGCCUAUGCACUUUAACUUAGAUUUCAUUUCAUUGUGUGAGCAACAUGUACAUUGGGAAUGACAAUAGUCUCUGUGAUGACCACACAUGGUCCUUGUAAGGGUUCAAUGAAUCAUGCUAUAAGCUUUGUGAAUAGACUUAGAAUACAGUGUCUUCUCUGUAUGUCAGCUCUUCCUAUACUUUUUCUUUGGGUUCUCUACGUGGAAGCUUCACAGGGAUUUUAAAAUGAACAUAUUUGAAACUGAAAUCAUCCCAUUCCCCAAAACUAUUUUCCACGGCCCCAUUCGAGUCUUAACUCAAGAACUGCGUUAUAUCAUCAUAUGUUUCAUAUCAGAAAUCUGAGUGUAGGGAUGUCUGCUAAUUCUUUCUUGGGUGGCCCAUCUAUCAAUGAGCCUCAGAGUUCCCAUCUUGAAAAUAUAUCUUCAUUCUACUCACACUCUUAGGCACCAUCAUCUCUUGGCUGGACUGACACAAUUUAAGAAGUGCUGCUUCUACUUUCAUUCUUAACCACCCUCCACCCUUCUCUUCACAGCAGCCAGAGUCAUUUCUACUCAUGAAUUGGAUGCAGGUUGUUUAAAUGAUAGGUCUUUUAGAGGUUCCAGACAAGCUGGAAAGCAUAUGUGAAUUGAAAAAAAAAAAUACACAUCCAUCCAACUGUGGACCAUUUAAACAGCUCUUAGAAGCCUGCUGUCUCUCAAGAAAAUACAUCAACACAUCUCCUUCCUCUAGGGGAUGAUGGGGAAAUGAAGCACAAUUUUGAGAGACAUUUUAAACACUAAUUACUUCAACCUGUGUCUGUCAUCGUUAAAGCUGCAUUAAUAGAGGCAAAUGAGUUGACAGGUGAUUGCAAAAUAAAAGACUAUUUUAAUAUAAUAUGCAUUAGGAUAUUUUACUUCUGUCUACAUAUUACCAUGCCCCAGGCAAAUUGACUAAGGAGUCACAUUUAACCCUUCAGAAACGCCAGGAAGAAAAUAACAGUAGGCAUUGCAUUUUUAAACCUUUUUAUAAAUGUUUUCCCAGUGAAUACUGUUAUGAUACAAUGUUUUUAAGCAAUUAGGAAUAAAGCAAACUACAUUUUCACCUGCCACAGAAUAUUCUUGUUAUGACUAGUUCUUUUUACCUGAAGCAGCGAAACAAAAAAUAAGGUAAAGAAAAUGCAAACUAGUCCUUAAAUUCUCCCCGUCCACCCUAUUCAUCUAUAGCAGAGGGGUUAAAACCACAUCCUACCUUCUUCUAGUAAUUACCUGUUUGACCUUGACUAAACUCUCAAAUCUUCUAAUGUUUGAGAUCUUCAUCUCCAAAGUGGGGAUGAAAAAAAUCCUCUUACUUCAUUAGGUUAUUAAGCGCAUUGUAAAGUGCCUGGAACAUUGCUUAGCAAAUAAUAAAAUAUAUUUUGCUUUUUAUUACUUCUGUUGUCUUUUUUUCCCCCCAAUGUGUCAAUGCCUCUGUUGCUAGAGGUGAUUAAUUUGAUAAUAAUUAGGGUUUUUUUUGUUUUGUUUUGUUUUUUUUAACCGUUUUUACUCUUCCCACUGUCAAAUGCUAGAUGAAAUACAAAAUCGCAUUGAUAAUGGUGACUUGAUAUGAUUUAAUUCUAAAUAAUAUUCAUGAUCUUUCUCUUUCUGACACAAUGAUAUAGAGCCCCUGAAGUUCAGUUGACCCUUGAGAAGCACUAGUUUGAACGGCAUAAGUCCAUUUAUAUGCAGAUUUUUUUCAAUAAUAAAUAAUACCACACAAUCUGUCAGGAUAUGGGGGAACCACAGAUAUGGAGGGUCAACAAUAAGUUACACUCAGAUUUUUGACUGUGGGAAUGUUGGUGACCUGCACUGUCCAAGGGUCAACUCUACUACUUUAACGGCAUAUAUUGAUUGGACCCUUAAAGCCGUAAAGAGGAUUUAGACACAUCCACAUUGUAUAUUUCUGCCACAUUUCAUUGCC
RNAcentral lists this long non-coding RNA (2397 nucleotides) under Sus scrofa (pig). RNAcentral's name for it is "lncRNA (ENSSSCG00050028484.1)". Lineage: Eukaryota; Metazoa; Chordata; Mammalia; Artiodactyla; Suidae. The record is from RNAcentral.